Long non-coding RNA from Strigops habroptila (Kakapo), 2699 nucleotides. The record is from Ensembl. NCBI's taxonomy places the organism in Eukaryota, Metazoa, Chordata, Aves, Psittaciformes, Psittacidae.
CGACGGCGGGCGGCGGGCUCAGCCUGCGGGAGGAGCUGACGGUGUUGGGCCGGCAGGUGGAGGACGCGGGCCGGGUGCUGGAGGGCAUCGGCAAGAGCAUCUCCUACGACCUGGACGGUGAGGAGAGCUACAGCACCUACCUGCGCCGAGAGUCCGCCCAGAUCAGCGACGCCUACUCCAGCUCGGACCGGUCGCUAAGCGAGCUGGAGGGCAAGUUCCGUCAGGGCCAGGAGCAGGGGGCUCGGGAGGAGGCUCGCCUGGGCGACAGCUUCCUGGGGCUGCUGCUGCACGCCCGCGCCCUGCUCCGGGAGACCCGACACAUCUCCAGCGGGCUGCGGGACAAGCACGACCUCCUCGCCCUCACCGUCCGCAGCCACGGCGCACGCCUGAGCCGCCUCAAGCACGACUAUCUCCGCGCCUGAGACGGACCCCGAGCCGGCUUCCAGCCCCCCGGACUGAGCUCUGCCUGUCAGGAGCACCGCCGCGCCCGGAAAAAAACUUAUUUAUUAUGUUUGACUGCCUAAACAAAUAGCGCGUUUCUAUAGACCAGGAGGGUAGAGGUAUGUUUAAGUUAAUAUCCCAUAUUUAAAAAAAUCGCUUUUGUUAUGUCGUUCAUCUUUGGUUACAAAGCAAAGUGAGCUUUCUCGUCUCCAAUUCCCCGUCGUUGGUUUAUGUAUCACUCGUUCUAUUGCAGCUCACCUGCUGCAAAUGUGGAUAAGGCAAGGUGCUCUCCUGCCGCUCCCAGACUCAUGUAACAGAUGCUUAAAUUGCUUUUGUACUCUCCUUCGGGGUGAAACCUCUGCCUAUCUAUUAACUUUCUUAACCUGUUGUAAUGGUAUGUACCCUAUGCACGUUAAACGUUGUUUUCUUACAUAACUUAAAGCUGUCAUUAUUUCCGUUUGUGUUCUGAAAGGUGGAAACUAUUCUGGCAGGAUUUGUACUCUUCCAGGCUUGCUUAUCUGUGACUUUAAGCUAUCACAACCCCAAGAGCCAGCCAAAAAGGCUGAUGUCAGAUCACAAGAAUGUUGAUGCACGUCUUUGUAGUAAGAAGAAGGAGCCCUAGCAGUGAUUGUAGUUUCAGAUCCCAAAUAUGAGAGCCAGGUUUCCUAGAGCAUGUUUCUAAAGCAGACAAAAAGGUUUUGUCUGUGCCAGCACAGUGACAUUUCUUGUUGGUGCCUUUGUACUUUUGCUAGCUAAGCUGUUAACAAAAUUAUUUGUGUUCCUAGACAAUAGCAAAAGUGCCUAGUGGGAAGGAGGGGGAGGACUGUUUGGGUUUUUAGACUCAUUGUUAUUUAGUUGUCAAUUUGGGGUAAUAUGGCUACUAGGUUACAGAUACUGCAGGCAGAAUCACGAUGAAAAAAACGAUCGUAUGUUGUUUUAAUAAAUAUUUGAAAACCAUGUUAAAGGCCACAUUUUUUCUUUUAUUGUUCUGCUUAGGUUGAUCUUGAUUUAAACCAUGUUGUUGUAAUAUGUCUUUUGAGCAAAAAAUUGUGAGUGCGUAUAUCCUGCCAAAUGAAAUAACUUGCUUUUUAGUAAGAACAAAUAAAUGCAUAGACUCAAAAGGUAAGCAAGUUUCAUUAAAAGCAGUACUACAAAAGGUGCUAUGUGUAGGGUGGAUUUGUUUGAGUUUGUUAGCCUUUUUCAGAAACUUAGCAACCUCAUGGCACUGGCUGCAUGAUGCACAAUUUAGGUUUGAUCUUGUUAACUCUCCUCAUGUUCAGUGAUACUUUGGUCUGCAAACCAUCCAUUUGGUAAGUUACUCCGCAGGGCACUGUGUCAACGUAAGUCAUCUGGGACCAGAGCGCUGAAGGCAGCGGUGUCUGGUGAAGGUACGUGCUUACAGAACUGCUGGACCAUCCAGGCAGCUUACUUUCAUCAGAGGCAGGGAGGUGUAGCUCCUAGCAGGAUACUUUAGGUGUCAAUUUGCACCUUAAGAUCCCCAGUGUCUGUGAAGAUCUACCUGGAAAACAGAAAAGGAAACAUUUUAUUGAUUGACUUUGGUGGAACUGCUCAAUGUUAUGUUCAAGUCUGUUGCCAAGUUAGAAGGUAUGACAGGUUCUAGCUCUUUUAAAAAAUAAAGUUACUUGUGAUUCUUUCCUUGCCACUAGGGUUAGCUGUAAAAACACAAGCAAAAGGGGCCAUCUGAGUCACCAAGUCCUGUCUGCCUGCUAUCACAGCAGACCAUACAGCAUUUCUGGCAUGGAACAAGCUCUAGAAGUGCCUGAGGGUUUCAUUGGCAUCCAGACUCAAAUUUCUCUCUGAAUCUUGCCUGCUUAGAAGUGGGUGCCAAAGAUGUCAUGCCGUUUGUGCCCAGAUGCUUCUUAAAAGGAGUUUUAGACUCUGUUUGCUUUCAGAGAUGUUGUUUAUAACACGAAUUGUAAACAUCAGUAAAGAAAUUAAAAUGUCGGGAGUGUUAGCAGUUUUAGCCAUGAGAGCAAUAUUCAAAUCCUAAUAGAAAAAUAGUGGUAGUAGUGUGACACACAGCUUUAAGCAGCUUGGCUAGUCUAUUUGCGAUAGCAAACUUCAGUCAAGCUCAAACUAUCUCAACAUACACAGCAUACCAAAAGAGUAAAUGUUUGCAAAGGGUUUACUUUCUAAAGCAGGAGAUUAUGUGACCCAUGGAGAUAUAUAGCAUAAUUCAUUCUGCUCUGUACCCCUGUAUUUAAGUUGGUCAUCUAAUGAAACAAAACCACGGUUCU